This 24-nucleotide non-coding RNA is filed under the name Arabidopsis thaliana (thale cress). The record is from RNAcentral. Lineage: Eukaryota; Viridiplantae; Streptophyta; Magnoliopsida; Brassicales; Brassicaceae.
UCUCACCGGAUCCAUCAUCAUCAC